This is an RNA transcript of Lycium ferocissimum, 5910 nucleotides long. It is a transcript of the gene named putative disease resistance RPP13-like protein 1, with no coding region annotated. The record is from RefSeq and is a predicted model, not a curated record. The transcript has 4 exons. NCBI's taxonomy places the organism in Eukaryota, Viridiplantae, Streptophyta, Magnoliopsida, Solanales, Solanaceae.
AAUGGGUCGUUUUUAUAAAAAUAAAAUAUGUAGGGCAUAAUUUGAAAAAAAAAAAAGAAAGAUUAAAAAGGAGAUAGAAAAAAGCGAAAAUAGGCUAUGAGGUGUUUUUCAAACUCUAAAUACAACUUCAAAUUAUAUUUGAAAUUUUCAUGGCCAAACGCUGAUUCUCAAAUAAAAUGAAAAAAAAAAUCGGAAAAAAAGUAUGUUAUAUUUACCCUUAAAGAAGAUCAGAAGAGGGUUAGAUUUGUCCUGUACUCUUCAAAAAAUGUUACUAUAUUUAUCUUCACUAUACUUUUUUGGUAUAUUUGCCUUCACCAUUCAACUUUGGACACAUAUUUACCCAUAAAUCCUCCUUGUGCCCAUGUAUAUAUAAUUUUUUCUCUGAAUUUAAAUCCAACCCACCAUUAAACCCGACCCACUUUAUAAAAUAAACUCACCCCAAAGACCUUACAGUUGCCAGAAAAAAUGUUGUUUCUUGGAGUGUUAUUAUGGUUGGAGUGUUAAGGACUUCAGGAAUUAUUUAAGAUCUUGGGAUAUACCAGAUAGUGUUAUACUUUGCCUUCUAUGAUUAGGGUUUGUAGAGAUACAAUGGGCCUGCAAGCUGAUUCAUAAUAUUAUUUUUUAUUUUGGUUCUCCACCUCGUGUUCGAUAUUCAUAUUGGAGCCUGACUAUAUCCGGAUUCGAGCCGCAUAGACCUCAUUCUGUGGGAAGCGCUCCCUACUAAUAAUUUUUUCAUACCUAGGGCUCAAACCCGAGACCUCUGGUUAAGGGAGGAGUAGCCCCAAUUGCUGCACCACGUCCUUUGAUGGUGAUUCAUAUUAUUGUUUGCAAAUUAGGGUCGCAGUCAGAUGAUUUUGUGGUUGCAGCAUUUGUUGAUAUGUAUUCGAAAUGUAAGAUGUCCUUUGAGGAGACGAGCAAGGGUCCCACUGUGCAGACUUGGUGGACUUCACAACCACAUGAUGACGAUGGCAAAAUUCAGAGCGUAUUGAAGCAAAACUUGAGCCAGAAAAGCACUCAUCUUUUGUUAUCUCUCCAAUCUUUAGGAUAAACUGUAGAAAUGGAUAUCGGAUUAGCAGUGGGAGGUGCAUUUCUUUCUUCAACUCUGCAAGUUCUCUUUGAUCGUCUCACCCCACAAUGUGACUUUCUUAAUUUCUUCCGAGGUCGCAGGCAAGAUCAAAGGCUCUUAAAGAAGCUUCACACUAAUUUGCUUGCUCUUCGUGGGGUUGUUCAUCACGUCGAGAGCGAGCAUAUUUGUGACGAACAUGUUCGGAAUUGGCUGAACCAACUUCAGGAUGCUGUGGACAACGCAGAUAACUUGUUGGAUGAGAUCAAUUAUGAAGUUCUGAGAGUUAAGCUGGAAUCUGGUGAUGAAACAAGCCAGCAUGUUGGUUUUUGCAAUGAUUUUCUUGACUCCAUGAUGCCCAAGUUGGAAGAGACCAUUGAAACAUUGGAAGACUUAGAAAAGCAAGUUCAUCGCCUCGGCCUGAAAACUCAUCUAGUGACAGGCAAAAAAGAGUCUCCUAAACGUCUUCCAUCAACUUCUCUGGUUGAUGAAUCAGGAGUAUUUGGUAGGCAUGAAGAACUUGAGGAAAUAAUUAGCCAAUUGUUGUUGUCAUGUGAUGCUGUAGAGGGGAAGAAAGAACCUAGUGUGACGCCGAUAGUGGGAUUAGGUGGAGUGGGCAAGACGACACUUGCUCGAGCCGUUUACAAUGAUAUGAAGAUAAGACACCAUUUUGAGAUUAGAGCAUGGGUUUGUGUUUCAGAAGAAUAUGACGCUUUCAGAAUUACAAGAACAUUACUUGGAGAGAUUGGGUCGUCGCUGGACUCAGACGUCAGUGACAAUCUUAAUCAGCUCCAAAUUAGGCUAAGUCAUAGGCUGAAAGGGAAAAGGUUUCUUUUUGUUCUAGAUGACGUAUGGAAUGAAAACUACACUGAUUGGGAUGAGUUAAGGUGUCCUUUCGUACACGGGCACAAGGGAAGCAGGAUCAUUUUAACAACACGAAAAGAAAGUGUUGCCAUGAUGAUGGGAAGUGAGAUAAUUCAGUUGAAAUCUCUGUCUGAGGAAGACUGUUGGUCUUUGUUUAAAACACACUCAUUUGAAAAUAGAGAUCCCAAUGAAUAUCCAGAGCUUGAAGGGGUUGGUAAAAAGAUUGUGGAGAAGUGCAAAGGGUUACCUUUAGCUGUGAAGACGCUGGCAGGUCUAUUGCGCUCUAAAUCCAAGGUUGAAGAGUGGGAACGCCUUCUGCGAAGUGAAAUAUGGGAGCUACCAAGUGGCCCAAGUGACAUAUUACCAGUGCUGAAAUUAAGCUAUAGUGACCUUUCUCCAGUGCUAAAGCGUUGCUUUGCUUAUUGUGCACUAUUUCCUAAAGAUCACCAUUUUGGUAGUGAAGAGGUUGUUCAACUAUGGAUUGCGAAUGGCCUUAUAACACACGGCGAAAGCGAUGAAACAAUUGAAGAUACAGGGAAUCAAUACUUUUUGGAGCUAAGGUCAAGAUCCUUGUUUCAAAAGUCAUCUGAUUUCUCUUUGUUGAAAUGGGAAGCAACGGAGAGAUUCUUGAUGCAUGACCUUGUCAAUGAUUUGGCUCAAUUUGUGUCAGCAAAACUUUGUCUUAGGCUUGAAGAUUAUCCAAGGCUUCACAUAAUGAAAAGAGUUCGACAUUUGUCAUAUCUUGGAGAUUGCUACAGCGAGUUUGACAAGUUCAAAUCGCUUUGUGGCCUUGAGUAUUUGAGGACAUUGAUUCCCAUAAGGAUUAAUUUCUAUUCGUUUCUAAGCACAAAAGUGGUGUAUAACAUACUGCCAACGCUGACCUCCUUGAGGGCAUUAUCAUUAUCUGGAUAUCAAAACCAUGAGUUUCCUGAUGCCUUGUUCAUCAAUUUGAAGCACCUACGUUAUUUGGAUUUUUCUCGUACAAAAAUUACAAAACUGCCAGAUUCAGUUUGCACUUUGUAUAAUCUACAAACAUUGUUGCUGUUGAAUUGUUGGGGUCUUGUUCAGUUGCCGGCAGAGAUGGGGAUAUUGAUCAACUUGCGUCACCUUGAUAUUCGAGGAACUUGUAUUUCGUGGAACAUUCCUCUACAGAAAAGCAAGUUGCAGAUUCUCCGUCUUUCUUAUUCAACAAGAUUUGUCGUGGGUACAUGUAAUGAUUCAAGAAUUGAAGAGUUGGGUGAACUUCAAAAUCUCCAUGGGUCGUUAUCAAUUUCAGAAUUGCAAAAUGUUGUUAAUGGCAGGGAGGCUAUUAAGGGAAACAUGAAGGAUAAAAAGCACCUUGAAGAGUUAUUUUUGUCAUGGAGUGGCAUGAAUGCUGAUGAUUCACAAACUGAAAGAGAGAUUCUGGAUAAGUUGAAGCCAGAUAAAAACAUUAAGAAACUGGAGAUCAAUGGGUAUCGAGGGACAAAAUUCCCGGAUUGGUUUGGAGAUCAUUCCUUUAGUAAGCUGGUCUCAUUGCACCUCCGGAGAUGUAGGGAUUGCAAUUUCUUACCAGCACUUGGACAACUACCUGCUCUCAAACAUCUUUCAGUCAGUGGAAUGCAUCGGAUACAGCAAUUGAGUCGAGAAUUCUAUGGGAGUGUGUCUUCAGUUCCACCAUUUAGAUCCCUCACAAGCCUUGUGUUUAAGCAAAUGCCAGAAUUGACAGAAUGGCAUGGGUCAGAGAAUGGAAGCUUUCCUCGACUUAAGCAUCUUGAUAUAAUUAAUUGUCCUAAACUGAUAGGGGAGCUACCUAAAAGUCUUCCAUGUUUAGCUACAUUAAAGAUUUCUGGCUGCCCAAAGCUUGGGUUUCUUCCUGAUGGUCAAGUGGCUAUUUUUGGAAUCCAUUUGAGUUUGAUCCAUCAAAACUUCAUGUCUCUUCGUAUAUUGAGAAUUUCAGACCUGCCAAACUUGCUGGAGUUGCCAUCAGAACUAUGUGGACUAACAAAUCUUGGAGAGUUGAGGAUAUCUAAUUGCGCAAGCUUAGAAAUAAUCAGGAUUCAGGGUAUGCAGCAUCUUCUUGAAUUAGUUAUUCUACAUUGUCCAGCUCUUAUGUCCUUACCAAUUCUGAGUCUACCGAUAACUUUGGAAAAAAUGCAUAUUUCAAAAUGUGAAAAAUUGGAGUUGGAGUUUCCAGACAAUAGCAUGACUGGAAGCUGCUGUAACAUGUUCCUUGAAGAAUUAAGACUUGAAAAUUGUGACUCUCUACGUUAUCUCUACUUCUCUUUUUCUCCCAGAGUACAUACUCUCAUAGUCUUCAGUUGUAGGCAUCUUCAAACGCUUACAUUUCCAGAUGGAAUUGACACCCUUGAAGUAGAAAGAUGUAGGAAUCUUGAAGCACUUAUAGUAGCAAAGGGAAUUCAUCUGAAAUUUCUGCAGUCGAUGAAAAUCUCAGGCUGUGAUAAUUUGACAUCUUUUCCACAAAAACUAGCUGCUGCCAGCUUAAAGUAUCUUUGGGUCUAUGACUGCCAGAAACUCAAAGCACUGCCAGAUUUUAUGCAUGAACUCCUUCCAUCUCUUAGAAAUCUGUGGAUUUCCAACUGUCCCGAACUUGAGUCCUUCCCCGAUGGAGGAUUGCCCUUCAAUAUAGAAAUCCUCGACAUCUCGACUUGUGAAAAACUGAUAAAUGGUAGAGAAGAGUGGGGUCUACUGAGACUCCCUUAUCUUAGAUGUUUCAGAAUUUAUGGUUCCGGUGAAACUUCAAUUCUAGACGAAAGUUGGAAGCUGCCGAGUGCCAUCCAAACAAUUACUAUAGAGUGUCUUCCCCAACUGAAAACAGUAAGGGGGAUAGCUCUUGAAGGCUUGAAGUCUCUUGAAGUUUUGGAAAUUAAGCACUGCCCUCAGCUUCAAUCACUGCCUGCGGAAGGUCUUCAAGGCCUCACCUCUCUUGCAACUUUAGAGAUUGAGGACUGCGGUCAGCUGAAUUCACUUCCAGAAAUUGGCUUGCCUUCCUCACUGUCUGUACUAAAAAUCUCUUCCUGCCCACAGUUCCAAUCACUACCAGAAAAUGGUCUCCCCUCCUCUUUAUGUCGAGUAGAGAUUAAUGACUGUCCAUUGCUCACUUCUCGUUUACAAAACAAGAAAGAGGAGGACUGGCUAAAGAUUGCUGGAAUCCACACUGUACUUAUAGACAAUGAAUUGGUCUAGGGGCGAAGAAGAACCUGGUCCCUUAUCUGGUACAUUUGUUCAUAAAAUCAAAUGACUCAAUCUUCUAUUUGUUUCGUUCAGAUUUUCUUGUGAAUCUUUCUAAGUACUCUUUUAUUGUUUAAUUAUUAACUUUAUCUUCUGCAGUGUUCUUGCAUUGUACAGAUCAAAAUAGAUGUGUUGUUGCAUGAGGGAAAAGUAAUUCUUAUGUUAAUCCCUAUAUUCACUCUCUAGAGUGAUAGCUGCCAAAAUAGAUGGAUGGAGAGGUUUGUUGAAAACCCAACACUAAAAGAGUUAUUUGCCUACUUGUCAUUAUGUCGCUGCACAGAUUUUUGACAAAAGAAAGAAUGGAAAAAAACAGCCCCUAGUUCUUUGGUCAAAUGAUUUGACUGGUAUGACAUGCAUUUUAAAAGAAUGGAGGAAGUACAUUAUUCUCUUUUAGAUUUCAAUUUGACUGGUCACGGGUUCGAGCCGUGGAAGCAACCACUGAUACUUGCAUUAGGGUAGGUUUUCUACCUCACACCCCUUGGGGUGCGCAACCUUUUCCUGAACCCUGCUAAUGAGGGAUGCUUCGUGCACCGGACUGCCCUGCCCUUUUAUUGUCUCUGGGCUGUACUUUAUUUUGUUCUGUUCUUGUCGCUAUCCUUGUUUUUGAAAAAAAAAAAAAAAAUGCACCCUGUUAUUGCUAAUGGGAGUUUGGUAGUUAUCUGGCAGUUAUUUCUGUUCUUUUGGACAUUGUUUUGCUGGAUUUUCACAUGUAUGUUGGUAACUGUAUUAGUUUUGGCACUGUCUUUUGAUUA